This 537-nucleotide small RNA is filed under the name Pan troglodytes (chimpanzee). RNAcentral's name for it is "processed transcript". Lineage: Eukaryota; Metazoa; Chordata; Mammalia; Primates; Hominidae. The record is from RNAcentral.
CGGCCGCCGCCAGCUGAGGGGAGCGUCGCGGGCCGAGGAGCAGAUGCCGCGGGGGCCGCUCGCAGCCGCCGCUGACUUGUGAAUGGGACCGGGACUGGGGCCGGGACUGACACCGCAGCGCUUACCCUGCGCCAGGGACUGGCGGCUCGGAGUUUGCGUCCACCCUCAAGGGCCCCAGAAUUACAUGGCUGCUUUGUAAAGAUUCUGGUUUGGGGACCCUCAUAUGGGAAACGCCAUGACAUUGACCUCGUGGUCUGAUUUACAAUGCCAGUACUGCGCUCCCAGGAGCAUAGCGUGUCCUGGAACCUUGCCUGUGAAUGCCUGUGACUUAUGAAGUGGUAACUUAUGAAGUUGGUAAACUUUGAUCUCUUAUAUUCAAAUCUGUUUUCAGAACCAUCUAAACAAGAUCUUCAAAUCUGAUUUUAGUCUUCCUUCAUUCUCAAUACGUGUAUAUAGGUAGAUGUUGGAGAAACAACAAUUUCAUUGGAAUUUACUUUCAAUAUUGAUGUUUUCACUUUGAUCACAGGCAUACUUACU